RNAcentral lists this ribosomal RNA (253 nucleotides) under uncultured bacterium. RNAcentral describes it as "partial 16S ribosomal RNA". It matches the Rfam family "Bacterial small subunit ribosomal RNA", at positions 524 to 776 of the family's 1533-position model. The record is from RNAcentral.
UACGUAGGGGGCUAGCGUUGUCCGGAAUCAUUGGGCGUAAAGCGCGUGUAGGCGGUCCGGUAAGUCCGCUGUGAAAGUCGGGGGCUCAACCCUCGAAUGCCGGUGGAUACUGUCGGGCUAGAGUGCGGAAGAGGCGAGUGGAAUUCCUGGUGUAGCGGUGAAAUGCGCAGAUAUCAGGAAGAACACCAAUGGCGAAGGCAGCUCUCUGGGACGGUACUGACGCUGAGACGCGAAAGCGUGGGGAGCGAACAGG